RNAcentral lists this microRNA precursor (136 nucleotides) under Paramuricea clavata. The record is from RNAcentral. Lineage: Eukaryota; Metazoa; Cnidaria; Anthozoa; Malacalcyonacea; Plexauridae.
GUCCCCGAGCAAAGCGGAAAAGUCGAAUACGAGCGCGAAAGAAUACUGGGAAUAGCUAAUAAAUUCAUUAAUUUUUUAGCGAUUCCCAGCAGCCUUUCGCGCUCGUAUUCGACUUUUCCGCUUUGCUUCUGGACAA